Molecule: long non-coding RNA, 4722 nt
Organism: Anolis carolinensis (green anole)
Lineage: Eukaryota; Metazoa; Chordata; Lepidosauria; Squamata; Anolidae
Exons: 5
Source: RefSeq, a predicted model, not a curated record
ACUACUACAGCCACAGACGCGGACUUCAUCAGCUCUCCAGCGCAUAGGGAUGAAAAAGCCUUUUUGAGGGAGUCUCCCAUCUCCAGAGCUUAACUUGCAAGUGAACAGCCGUCGAGAAAACAUACAAAUCUCAGGAGCGGGGGAAAAGUCUGAGGCGAACCCUCUCCACACAGACAGAGCCCCGCCCCCUCCCCUUCCCCAAGAAAAGCGCGCGCUUUUGGGCUCCUCGCGCAGCCCCUCAGACGACAACGACGACGCCCCGCCCCUCGGCAGCCCCUCUCGCGCGCUCGCCUUCAGUCACCUGAGCUCCAGAGCAGCGGCCAAAGGAGGGAGAGCGCGGCACGCAUCCCCUUUGAUGUUCAAACUAUUCCUAAGAGCUAUUGUUGAAGCCUGAAUCACCAGAAGAAACAGCAGAGAUGACGGCCACCCCUGCCUUAUUUCCCUUCAGAAGGUACACAAUGGAGACUGCAGAUUAUUAACUAUCACUAUACAGCACGGAGAAUGCUCAUUCAGCUCCACAAGGUACAUGCAAUCUCCAUUGAAGCAGUAAUUGUUCAUGUCAGACUUGCAACCUGUGAUCCGAACUUGAGCUACACGGGGACUUUUUUCUGUUCGAACUAAAGGAAGAAACGAAAGAUAAGUAUGGUCAAAAUUUCCCUCCUUACGUAACAGUAAAGUACAAUCAGAUCUACCGUAAGAGCUGGUUUGGGUCUCGGUGGGGAAAUGGUGUGGGGGAAGUUAUCCAUGGAAUUGCAGUGGAGGAUCUAAAGAUUCCUGGAAAGAACACUUCUCUUGGCCUUUAUAGUGCGAUUCAACUCCUGGUGACAGUUGAUAACGAAGUCACACUGGAUGGCCUAGAGCAGAGCUUUCCAAACUGAGUGUUGUGACAUAUUAGUGUGUUGACUGCAUAGUGUGUAGGUGUGUCUCACAAAUGUAAUGUGAAGCCUCUAAGUCUAUGUAAAAUAAGCAAUAAAUACAUUUAAAAUAUAUAAAUGAAAGGUUUUCAUGAGCUAUAGUAUGUUUUAUUAUUGUUAUUACAUUUUAUGUAUGUGUCUGAAUCUCUUAUAAGGGGUUGGCUUAACUUUCAGUUUGCUAGUAAAACUGAAUGACUGUAUCGCAAAAAGAUACAUAUCUAAAAUGAGGGCCACCAACAUGAAAUCUUUGGAAAACAAUGAACUAGAAAUUCCUUGAGAGGUGUUCUCUGAGGUACAAAAGUUUGUAUAUUUUUCAUGUUUUUUUUCUAAUUUCCUAGUGCUCCUGUACUCCUAAUCCUAGUGAAUGUGGAGGACCCACUGUAGUGUCACCAAAGUUGACACCAUAUAACAGAGUAGCUUUAUCAAAAAGAGUCCUUGCCUCGAGGAAAAUGCAGUUCAUAUCUUGAGAAAAAGAAGACAGAGUAAGAGAUGGGGAGGCAAGAGGGAAUGCUAAUAUCUUUACAUGUACUUAGUUAAUUUAAGACAUAAACGUACUGAGAGAGCCCAGGCAUACUCUGAUAAUAUUAUAAAUCCUUCAUUGACUGUUAGAAGUCAUUCAAACUCACCCCAAGCAGUUGUACAGUUAGUCCCAUUGACUCCACAUAUUGGGAUCACAGUUGUACUGAGCACAGAUUGGAGCAGCUGCAAACCUGAAGAGGGGAAAGAAAUGUCCAUUUAAAAUAAAAACAUAGAGAAAGGAAGCAAAUUCCUAAAACCUUCCCAGCAUUGAAUAAUCCAGUUAUUCUGCCUGGUCAGUGGUUUCGUACCAUUCUGCUCCAGCUGAAAGUAGGCACAACAGGAUGUUUCACCUGUGUCAAUGCCACUCCUGUUGGCCAUUCAAAUGCUAACACUGCUUCUAUCAACCCUGAUAGAAAGCUGAUUCAUCUGUCUGUUGUUUACUCUGGGUGGGUGGGUGAAGUGAAAGUGCAAAACAGAAAUGGGUGUGGGCGUGUGCGAAAGGGGGGUAUCAUACAGUGGACCUGCCCCAGGAAACCAGAGCUAAGCAGGAUUCCCCGGAGUUUACCCAUCGAAACUCCCCACUAGUUUGCAAACAUGCAUUUUCACUGUAUUCUUCUUUGCCGCAAAUACACACAUAUGCUUGGAGUAGUGGGUACCAUUACCUUUCAUUGAUCUUCAAGAAAUACACAAAACUGAUUUUAGCAUGGACAUAAUUAUUACUGAGGAGAUGGGAGUUAUGGAAUGCAUGGACUGGAUUCCUUCAUCACUUUCAAGGUUGCAAUAGGAUCAAAUCCACAAAUCCAAGUAGGACCUGCAGCUUCAUCACACUAGAGCAUGGAUCCACUUUAAAUCCAGUUUCUGCCUUCAGAAUUCUGGGGUGUGUAGCUUAGUGAAGUCCAGGACCUGCCUGGCUGAGCAGUUUAAAGGCCCCUCCCUAAACUACAAGCUCCAGAAUUCUGCAGGAGGCAGAAACUGGAUUUAAAGUGGAUCUAUGCUAGUGUGAUGGGGUCCCAAGAGUGUGAGCAAUGUACCUCAAUCCACUUUUGUGGACCUUGUGCCUCUAGGCUCUAUCCCAGGCUCUUUUGGGUAAGUACAGAUACAGUCCCUGCUGAAAGGAACUGUAUUUCAGAAAUAGUCUCCAGUAAAUGAAUACCAGUGUGGCAGAGUGGUUUGAGUGUCAGACUGUGGGCCUCAUCACAUGGGGCAAUUGAAGCAUCCUAGGAUGCUUUUACCCUGGUUAUUUAUUUCAUUUUUCUCUGUCUUUUUUGAUCCAGGUAAGGACUCAAGGUGGCUUACAAAUCCAGCAAAAAUUCAAUGCUGCACAGGACAUCUUUUGCUAGUUUUCCAAUGAAUCUCAUUGAGUCUCAACCAAUUCAACAUAGUGGCAGCCACAAAAACAAAGUUUCUGGAGUAUAACAACUAUUUUCAAAGCAGUGCUUUUCCACCACAAGGGAACCACAGUCUGGCACACACAGUGGACCAGGCUUACAGGUAAUUCUUGUUCAAGAGGUUGCCUAAUGGACUUACCAUCUUUCUCUUUUAUGACUUUGCAGUUGACCGACAAAGGAAAGGCACAAAGAUCAUAUAGUAUGAAACCUUGGUUAAUCCACAAAUUGUCAAAUAGUUUUUCAAGUGCCCAUGAACAUGGCUUUAACUGCUGUCAGUGGGGAAGACUGGCAUUUAGUUCAUGUAAUAUAGAACACACAAAAAGCUGUUCCGCAGAUCUGAUCAUCAUCUUGGCUCUUUCACUGAAUUUAUAGAGUGGAGCAAUACAAUACUCCCGGAAAUUGAGGAUUUGCCCCAUUAUUUGUUUUCCUGCUCUUUGUAUUCGGAGCCAAGAGCUAAAAUCCUGGGGCCUAAUCUGUAUCUUGUGCAAUCCAAUACGGUUCCAGAAAAGAUUUUCUAUCUCUUGGCUGACACUAAUCCUGUGGUUACUCACAAGGUGUCACAAGGUGUCUCUUUUUGCUCUGGCAGCAAUGAAAAUCCCAGCAAGAUUAAUUUCUGAUAUUGCAGUUUAGUGUUCUGGGGAUACUUUUACCUAAUAAUAGUGUGGUUGUCUAUAUCCAAAGUGUUUCUUGUUUAAGUUUUAAUAAUACUGAAUUUUACUUGGUUUUUAACUAUGCAAGAGCUAGUUCAUAUAGUAUUUUAUGCAGUAUUUUAAGGGUGCUUCUCGCCAUGACUUUAAGUAGCAUUUUAAUGGCUUAUGUAGUAUUGUAAUGGUGUAUUUUGUAUUUUAUUUAAUAAUAUUUUAAAUGUAUUUAUUUGUUUGUGCUGUAUUUGAAAGACUUAUGGUCUAAGCAUUAAAUAAACUACUUCUACAUCUGAAUAUUCCUAGUACAUCUAAAACCUCAGCACGUUUAUUGCGUAGUAAGUGUUAUUAGUUGGAUCCAAAUUUUGUCACAUAGAAGUCAAUGGAAAUUAAAUUAAUCUAGAAUCAUGACUAGUUUUGCCCAUGGAUAUCAAGGGUUGUACUCUAAGAAUGUUUAAAUCGAUGUCCAACACAUUCUGUCGAUUUCAAUGUUUUUCAAAGGUGUUAGGUGGCCAUGAGGGUGGGGUGUGAAACUGGUCUUAGUCUGAACUUCAAAGUUGCUGUCCAAAGUGCUGAAACUAUUUUGGAGAUAGGAUUCAGCAUGUAGCAUAGCUCCGUUCAGACUGAAAUUCAGGCCAAACAUAGUAUUGCCAAUUCACAUCUAAAGCCCAGUGUGGCCUCACUGCCCUAAUGCUUACAAACCACUGUCUGCCACUAGAGGGUUUGCUAUAAACAUACCUAAAUAUGGAUCCAUACAAUCUGCUCACUGGAAUUUGCACCUGAGUAAGUGUGCCUAGGAUUGCAACACUUAGGAAAAGAACAGCGGUCUCUUUCUAGCAGAUGAGCUGUCUUGGUAUGUAAUUAAUGUAUUAUUUAAAUGUCAUACUAUCUCAGUCCACUGGCUGUGAUUCCCAUCUUACUAGAAUGACUUCAUUCAGCAAUAGACACCAAGUAUACUUCUCAUGAGGAUAUAGAAGAGGGUUUCUGUCUACUGAGCAAUCUAGGCGGAUGUUUUGAAAAACUGUUAUAAAAAUGUAGAGUGGGACCCAAGACCUAUUUUCUGUGCCCACAUCUCAGUACAUCACAUCUCAUCCUGUUUUACAGGGUUCCUCAACUAUCUGUCUAGCAUUUCCAGGAGAUGGAAGAGGCCAGAAGGAAGAAAGAGUGUUGUUGUGUGUUUUCCAGGCUGUAUGGCCAUGUUCCAGAAGUAUCCUCUCCUGAUGUUGGCCAUGUAUGGCCAUGUUCCAGAAGUAUCCUCUC